CUUCGCGGGGCGGGGCGUGCGCACGCCGAUCUGACGCGUCGGCGGCUGCCGCGCCUCAGAACUGGUAGCGCACGCUCAGCGUCGUGCUGCGCGGC
This 95-nucleotide transfer RNA is filed under the name compost metagenome. Its description in RNAcentral is "tRNA-Val". The record is from RNAcentral.